AAGGGUUACAAACUCGAAUGGCAUUCUUAUGUUCUGCUAAUCUGAUCUUUAAUUUCCUUGUAGUCAUCCCUAUAUAGAAACAACCACAUGGACACUCUAACCGAUACACUACAAAUGAGGUGCUUUCCGGAAUACAAUGGAGGGAGAUUCAGGCAUGACUUCCCUGAGAUGGGGAUCACUCAUCACAAUUUCCCAAUUCUUUUUUUAUAAUUUUCUUAAUUCUAUUCGCCUCUGUACUGUACUGUGUAACGAAAUAAACCGAAUUAUCAGA
Molecule: long non-coding RNA, 271 nt
Organism: Sinocyclocheilus rhinocerous
Lineage: Eukaryota; Metazoa; Chordata; Actinopteri; Cypriniformes; Cyprinidae
Exons: 2
Source: RefSeq, a predicted model, not a curated record